Molecule: ribosomal RNA, 795 nt
Filed under: uncultured marine bacterium
Lineage: Bacteria
Description: bacterial SSU rRNA
Rfam family: Bacterial small subunit ribosomal RNA
Source: RNAcentral
UACAUGCAAGUCGAGCGCGCCUUCGGGCGAGCGGCGGACGGGUUAGUAACGCGUGGGAACGUGCCCAGAUCUACGGAAUAGCCACUGGAAACGGUGAGUAAUACCGUAUACGCCCUUCGGGGGAAAGAUUUAUCGGAUUUGGAUCGGCCCGCGUUAGAUUAGGUAGUUGGUGGGGUAACGGCCUACCAAGCCUACGAUCUAUAGCUGGUUUUAGAGGAUGAUCAGCAACACUGGGACUGAGACACGGCCCAGACUCCUACGGGAGGCAGCAGUGGGGAAUCUUGGACAAUGGGGGCAACCCUGAUCCAGCCAUGCCGCGUGAGUGAAGAAGGCCCUAGGGUCGUAAAACUCUUUCGCCUGUGAUGAUAAUGACAGUAGCAGGUAAAGAAACCCCGGCUAACUCCGUGCCAGCAGCCGCGGUAAUACGGAGGGGGUUAGCGUUGUUCGGAAUUACUGGGCGUAAAGCGCACGUAGGCGGAUUAGAAAGUUAGAGGUGAAAUCCCGGGGCUCAACCCCGGAACUGCCUUUAAAACUACUAGUCUAGAGUUCGAGAGAGGUGAGUGGAAUUCCGAGUGUAGAGGUGAAAUUCGUAGAUAUUCGGAGGAACGCCAGUGGCGAAGGCGGCUCACUGGCUCGAUACUGACGCUGAGGUACGAAAGUGUGGGGAGCAAACAGGAUUAGAUACCCUGGUAGUCCACACCGUAAACGAUGAAUGCCAGUCGUCGGGUAGUAUACUAUUCGGUGACACACCUAACGGAUUAAGCAUUCCGCCUGGGGAGUACGGUCGCAAGAUUA